CUUUGGGGAUUCCAGCCUUGUUCCUGUGAUUUUCUUAGCACUUAAAAAGUUAGGUGCUGCAACUGCUCAGCACCACAAUGCUUCUGUCUCUUUGUGGAUCUGGGUCAAAAGGACAUAUCUUGUUCAUCUUAUUGAUAUCAACAGUGUAACAGAUAGAAUUCUGCUUGCCUUAAUUGCUCUUUUUUUUCUUUCAUGGAACUAUGAUGUUGAUGGCCAAGUGAUCUAACAGACUGAACAUCUAGGAAAUAUAUGCUGCAGAUGGAGGACACCGGCAACGGAUGGUCCAUCUCAGGAUCUCUGGAACAUCGGAGGAUUCCUGGCUCUCUACUGCCAAAGAGUGGCUAGCACAGUCUUCACUGGAUCCUUCGGUGGAUUGCAGGAGUCAGGAUCAGUCUCAGCUCACAGAAAUAUCUUUUUCUGAAAUCUUAGAGACCACCUCUCCCAGUAAAUUAUUCCCUUGCCCAUCAAGCUGACUGUAGCCUCUUUGUGCUGACUUCAACUGAGUGUUUCAGCGUCAUAGAUUCAAUAAUAUUGGAGUAAAGUCCAUAGAAAAUCCCCUUUAUAUAAUACAAGACAUAAUUCUUUGAAGAAUCAAGCCAAUAAACUUCUUGCUGCCGAAGGAAAGACACUUGACAGCUGACACUCCAUUCCCUUCUUUGCUGAGUUUGGGGA
This is a long non-coding RNA of Mauremys mutica (yellowpond turtle), 672 nucleotides long. RefSeq lists it as uncharacterized. The transcript has 5 exons. The record is from RefSeq and is a predicted model, not a curated record. Lineage: Eukaryota; Metazoa; Chordata; Testudines; Geoemydidae.